CCUACGGGCUGCAGCAGUAGGGAAUCUUCCGCAAUGGACGAAAGUCUGACGGAGCAACGCCGCGUGAGUGGUGAAGGCUUUCGGGUCGUAAAACUCUGUUGUUAGGGAAGAACAAGUGCUAGUUGAAUAAGCUGGCACCUUGACGGGACCUAACCAGAAAGCCACGGCUAACUACGUGCCAGCAGCCGCGGUAAUACGUAGGUGGCAAGCGUUAUCCGGAAUUAUUGGGCGUAAAGCGCGCGCAGGUGGUUUCUUAAGUCUGAUGUGAAAGCCCACGGCUCAACCGUGGAAGGUCAUUGGAAACUGGGAGACUUGAGUGCAGAAGAGGAAAGUGGAACUCCAUGUGUAGCGGUGAAAUGCGUAGAGAUAUGGAGGAACACCAGUGGCGAAGGCGACUUUCUGGUCUGUAACUGACACUGAGGCGCGAAAGCGUGGGGAGCAAACAGGAUUAGAUACCCUUGUAGUC
RNAcentral lists this ribosomal RNA (466 nucleotides) under uncultured bacterium. RNAcentral describes it as "bacterial SSU rRNA". It matches the Rfam family "Bacterial small subunit ribosomal RNA", at positions 338 to 795 of the family's 1533-position model. The record is from RNAcentral.